Molecule: ribosomal RNA, 478 nt
Filed under: Bolitoglossa taylori (Taylor's climbing salamander)
Lineage: Eukaryota; Metazoa; Chordata; Amphibia; Caudata; Plethodontidae
Description: partial 16S ribosomal RNA
Rfam family: Bacterial large subunit ribosomal RNA
Source: RNAcentral
GUUUUCUAAAUAAAGACUAGUAUGAAAGGCAUCACGAGAUUUAAACUGUCUCCUUUUCCUAAUCAGUGAACCUAAUCCCCCCGUGAAGAAGCGGGGAUGACCUUAUAAGACGAGAAGACCCUGUGGAGCUUAAAACAAUUCUACACGUGCUACCCCAUUUUACGCCAAGGCCUCAUCACCUCCCCAAACCGCACGCUGAUUAUAUGUUUUUGGUUGGGGUGACCACGGAGAACAAAAAACCCUCCGCGAUGAAGGGGACAUACUCCUUAAAUUAUAAGCCACGACUUAACCUAUCAAUAAAUUGACAUUCAUUGACCCAAUAUUUUGAUCAACGAACCAAGUUACCCCAGGGAUAACAGCGCAAUCCACUUUAAGAGCUCCUAUCGACAAGUGGGCUUACGACCUCGAUGUUGGAUCAGGGUAUCCCAGUGGUGCAGCCGCUACUAAAGGUUCGUUUGUUCAACGAUUAAAACCCUAC